AACCUGCGGAGGGAUCAUUACCGAGUUUACAACUCCCAAACCCCUGUGAACAUACCACUUGUUGCCUCGGCGGAUCAGCCCGCUCCCGGUAAAACCGGACGGCCCGCCAGAGGACCCCUAAACUCUGUUUCUAUAUGUAACUUCUGAGUAAAACCAUAAAUAAAUCAAAACUUUCAACAACGGAUCUCUUGGUUCUGGCAUCGAUGAAGAACGCAGCAAAAUGCGAUAAGUAAUGUGAAUUGCAGAAUUCAGUGAAUCAUCGAAUCUUUGAACGCACAUUGCGCCCGCCAGUAUUCUGGCGGGCAUGCCUGUUCGAGCGUCAUUUCAACCCUCAAGCACAGCUUGGUGUUGGGACUCGCGUUAAUUCGCGUUCCUCAAAUUGAUUGGCGGUCACGUCGAGCUUCCAUAGCGUAGUAGUAAAACCCUCGUUACUGGUAAUCGUCGCGGCCACGCCGUUAAACCCCAACUUCUGAAUGUUGACCUCGGAUCAGGUAGGAAUACCCGCUGAACUUAAGCAUAUCAAU
Molecule: small RNA, 524 nt
Filed under: Fusarium oxysporum
Lineage: Eukaryota; Fungi; Ascomycota; Sordariomycetes; Hypocreales; Nectriaceae
Description: eukaryotic LSU rRNA
Rfam family: 5.8S ribosomal RNA (bases 169-322)
Source: RNAcentral